This is a long non-coding RNA of Hemicordylus capensis (graceful crag lizard), 286 nucleotides long. RefSeq lists it as uncharacterized. The record is from RefSeq and is a predicted model, not a curated record. The transcript is spliced from 2 exons. NCBI's taxonomy places the organism in Eukaryota, Metazoa, Chordata, Lepidosauria, Squamata, Cordylidae.
AAAAGCCAGAGGAGAACUGAGGUUGGAAGAUGGGCUUUAAAAAGAUGCACCAACUAUACUCUUUGGGCAGAGGCUUGAAAAGUUUGAGGAGCCCUGAUGUAAGAUACACUUCGCAGAAGGUCACUUGCAGCCUACUAAGAGUAGAACAAAUAUAUGUGGAUUUAACAAAAAAUACCUUAAAUGUUGGUACUAUUGAACAAUCAUAAUGUAUUUGCUUUUUAAGUCCAUUCAGUAAUGGAAUCUGAAAGAAUGUAAUUAUUUUUAAAAAAUAUUUCAAAAUACCAAA